ACAGUGGGGAGGGCGGGGAGGUGGGGAGAGAAGGGCAGGAAGCGCGCGAAGGGGACGGGAAGGAAGAAAGGCCGACUGCGGGCCUGGUAAGGAGGUCACCUCCGCUGCGUGUUGCUCCCUGGGGCGGACAGUGCUUAUCCUGACUGUCAGCUCGCCCCUGACUGCCUUGUCUCACGUGCGCUUUCAGUACCGUCACAGAUGGCCCCGUUUUAAUGUUCUCAAGAGCGUAAGAGAUUUCCCUUUGUUCAUUUUCCGUUUCCCGCGUCAGCGUUGUAAACAAGGAGCGCAGAAGCGUCCAUCUUGUUUACUCUGCGUCUCCAGCAGGGAAACUGUGCGUUAAGUUAAUAAAAGUAAGGUGCUGAAUACAAGAGGAAUAUAUGAAAAUGAUUAUUUUCUGCACUAAUAACCACUAAUUCGAUGUAGAAAUGAAAUGAAGUUUGAAAAUUAAGUCACCAAGAAGUUGUGGGGGAGAUUACCUGCAAAAAAAGCUCUUGUGGAAUGAGAAUUUCAGGAAAAAAAGAAAAAGAAAUACAAUUCAUACCAUCCUCAUAAGCUAUAGCUCCAAAUAUUGUGUUUUGUUGAGGCAGUGUACACUCAAGCUUUCUGGCUCUGAUUCCUCAUCUGUAGCUCAGAAAACUGAGAAUAAAAUAUGUAAAACAUUGAGAACAGUACCUGGUACUGGAAAUGCACUCUAGCCCCAAAAUGGUAGCCACCCACCAUAUGACUAUUGAUUACAUGAAAUGUGGCUAGGGCAAAUUAAACUGUGCUUUAAGUGUAAAAAUACACACUAGGUCACAACACACACACACAGUGUAAAAUAUCACAGUAUUUUUUUAUUUAAAUAACUUUUUUACUUUCCUUCUCCAGAUAGGAAGCCUACAAAGUUUAUUAUGCUUUAUCAGGAAAAUACAAGGUCAGUCUUGCCUAAGAGGCCUUGUAUUUCAAUUCCCCGGGCCAGAAACUGCUACUGGACAGACUGAAACAAGCCAAAGGGAAGAUCCAACUAUAAUCAAUCUACUUUAUGACCAAUGGCACACAGGGUUCCAGACCUCCUCCAUUCUUCGGAUUCUAUAUCUAUUCACCUAUGUGAGCAUGGGCACUUAGGAGAAAUGUGCACAUCACUUCAAUCAUUUCCCCACUCCUGGAUUAAUCUUGGUCCACUCAGAGUCGGCUUUCUGCCAACAGUAAACCCAGAGAUCAGGAGGCCGAAGGUUCUCAAUGUCUACACAGGGUUCUUUUGGAGGCCCAGCAACGACCCUUUCCUUCAAGAUCCAUUCAGUACCUUUGGAUCAUGCUAACCACACACAGUAAUUACCCCAAGUUCCCGAGGCCGGAUGACAUCAGAUGAGGAUGAAGCCGGGACCAAGCCUGCUCGAGAGAAGGCGAGGUGGAUGCCUCACAGCAUUCCUUAUAUUGUGUUGAAAUAUUUUAGAUAUACUGGGAUAAAUUAAUUUACUGGUGUGAA
Molecule: long non-coding RNA, 1465 nt
Organism: Myotis davidii
Lineage: Eukaryota; Metazoa; Chordata; Mammalia; Chiroptera; Vespertilionidae
Exons: 2
Source: RefSeq, a predicted model, not a curated record